This 911-nucleotide ribosomal RNA is filed under the name Megalodontes thor. Its description in RNAcentral is "eukaryotic LSU rRNA". It matches the Rfam family "Eukaryotic large subunit ribosomal RNA", at positions 364 to 1011 of the family's 3401-position model. Lineage: Eukaryota; Metazoa; Arthropoda; Insecta; Hymenoptera; Megalodontesidae. The record is from RNAcentral.
UUGAAAAGAACUUUGAAGAGAGAGUUCAAGAGUACGUGAAACCGUUCAGGGGUAAACCUGAGAAACCCGAAAGAUCGAAUGGGGAGAUUCAUCGUCAGCGGAGUCGUCUUCGCCUCGGCGUGCGAUGCCGGGAAAUUCGUUUCCACGGCACUCCGUCGGGGUGUUAAUGCACGGCAACGCGGGCGUGCACUUCUCCCCUAGUAGGACGUCGCGACCCGUUGGGUGCCGGCCUACGGUCCGGUGGGCCGCCUAUCCCGGCGUUUAAUCGCGUCGUGGACAGACCCCCGGUUACCCGGCCGGCUGCUCGGCGGUACUCGCACGGUAUCGGGCCGCAUUCGAACUGCGUCCAGCCCGCCGCAAGCGCGGUCAGUGUAUACCCGUCGGUCGGACCUAGUGCCGUCCCCGGGCCUGACCAGCUGUUGGUCGGCGGUGUCCUCGGACUGGCCCUCGAACUUAUGAUACCGGUCGGCGACGCUAUUGCUUUGGGUACUUUCAGGACCCGUCUUGAAACACGGACCAAGGAGUCUAACAUGUGCGCGAGUCAUUGGGAACGUAUGAAACCUAAAGGCGCAAUGAAAGUGAAGGUCGGCCUUUGUGCCGACCGAGGGAGGAUGGGUCGCGUCAAGAUGCGGCCCCGCACUCCCGGGGCGUCUCGUUCUCAUUGCGAGAAGAGGCGCACCCAGAGCGUACACGUUGGGACCCGAAAGAUGGUGAACUAUGCCUGGUCAGGACGAAGUCAGGGGAAACCCUGAUGGAGGUCCGUAGCGAUUCUGACGUGCAAAUCGAUCGUCGGAACUGGGUAUAGGGGCGAAAGACUAAUCGAACCAUCUAGUAGCUGGUUCCCUCCGAAGUUUCCCUCAGGAUAGCUGGCACUCGGGAUUCUUAUUUUGAACGCGAGUCUCAUCCGGUAA